CAGUAGCCGCGGGAACACGAAGGGUGCAAGCGUUAAUCGGAAUUACUGGGCGUAAAGCGUGCGUAGGCGGUUUGUUAAGUCUGUUGUGAAAUCCCCGGGCUCAACCUGGGAAUGGCAGUGGAUACUGGCUCGCUAGAGUGUGUCAGAGGAUGGUGGAAUUCCCGGUGUAGCGGUGAAAUGCGUAGAGAUCGGGAGGAACAUCAGUGGCGAAGACGGCCAUCUGGGACAACACUGACGCUGAGGCACGAAAGCGUGGGGAGCAAACAGGAUUAGAUACCCGCGUAGUCCCUGUCUCUUAUAC
This 301-nucleotide ribosomal RNA is filed under the name uncultured bacterium. RNAcentral describes it as "partial 16S ribosomal RNA". It matches the Rfam family "Bacterial small subunit ribosomal RNA", at positions 509 to 807 of the family's 1533-position model. The record is from RNAcentral.